CCCAUUGCCAUAGAGUAGUGAAGUCCCAGCCUGUUUUGUCUCUUGCAGUAGCCACUCCUUACAGAGCCUGAAAGAGAAGGGGAGCGUCCAGCCGCCAUCUUGGGCUCUGUCUUGUCAUCCCUUGAACAAGUCUGUCUUCUCUCUCUUUUUUUUUUUGAGACAGAGUCUCGCUCUUUCGCCCAGGCCGGACUGCAGUGGCACUAUCUCGGCUCACUGCAAGCUCCGCCUCCCGGGUUCACGCCACUCUCUUGCCUCAGCCUCCCUAGUAGCUGGGACUACAGGCGCCCGCUACCGCGUCUGGCUAAUUUUUUGUAUUUUUAGUAGAGACGGGGUUUCACCCCGUUAACCAGGUUGGUCUUGAUUUCCUGACCUCGUGAUCCGCCCGCCUCGGCCUCCCAAAGUGCUGGGAUUACAGGCGUGAGCCACUGCGCCCGGCCACAAGUCUGUCUUCUCUUUAAUGCCUCAUUUGUCUUGGCACAAAGACACAUGAUUAGGCUCAGAGUGGCAUGUUUUGGCAAGGGUGAGACACAUUCAGUGGAGUGUUGGGGAAAGGAUGGGGUUAGGGUGGAGGCCUAGGGCCAGAGACAGAUGGGCCAUGCUAAGACAUACGUUAGUGACGUUUGUUAGGGAAAUGACAUGGCUAAAUGGUUCUUUAGGAAGAAGAGUCAGGCGCCUCUGGAAGGGAUGGUUUGGCCUACAGAGAGAAAACAGAGAGAAUGGGCAAGGGGUCAUCGAUGGACCGGAGAUGGGAUGGUAGGGACAGAAACUGCAGGGUCCGCAGAAGGAACUGCUCACCGAAAGCCAACAAGCUUGCCCUGUGGAAUCCCAGAAAGGCCCAGGAACUUCGGGACAUCACUGAAGGCAGAGUGAAGAGAGGAAGAGAAGACAGAGAAAUGGAGGGGAGAAAACUAUUAAAAUAAGUAAUAAGAAAACUUUCCCCAGAAGUGCAGAAUCUGAAUUUCCAGUAUAAAAGGGUCCAUUGAGCGCCAAGAACAAUGAAGGAAAAAAGGUCCCACUCAGGCCUACGUAUCAUUGUGAAAUUUCAGAACUAGAGGGAUAAAGAAAAGAUCCUAAAAGCUUCCCGAGAGAUAAAAAAGAAGAUUUUUACAAAGGAUCAGCAAUCAGAAUUGCCUCAGACUGCUCAAUAAAAACAUCAGAAGCUAGAAGAAAAUAGAAUGAGGCAUCAAAAUCCUGAGGGAAAUGAUUCCCACCUAUAAUUUCAUAUUCUGCUCAAUUAUCAAUUGAGUAUUGAAGGGAAAUAAAGACAUUUUUAGACAUGCAGUUUCUCCACUUGAUCUUAGCCCAAAGGCCGAGAGGCAAUGACAUGCAGUUUCUCAAAAGGUUUGCUUCCCACUUUCUUGGAAAAAACCAAGAAAGAGGGGGCCUGGGGAACCAGGGGAUCCCAACACAGGAGAGUGGCAGAGGAAGCUCCCAGGAUGAUGGAAAA
Molecule: long non-coding RNA, 1447 nt
Filed under: Homo sapiens (human)
Lineage: Eukaryota; Metazoa; Chordata; Mammalia; Primates; Hominidae
Description: HSALNT0362684
Source: RNAcentral